This 460-nucleotide ribosomal RNA is filed under the name uncultured bacterium. RNAcentral describes it as "partial 16S ribosomal RNA". It matches the Rfam family "Bacterial small subunit ribosomal RNA", at positions 338 to 795 of the family's 1533-position model. The record is from RNAcentral.
CCUACGGGUGGCAGCAGUGAGGAAUAUUGGUCAAUGGACGAGAGUCUGAACCAGCCAAGUAGCGUGAAGGAUGACUGCCCUAUGGGUUGUAAACUUCUUUUAUAUGGGACUAAAAUGUUCCACGUGUGGGAUUUUGUAUGUACCAUAUGAAUAAGGAUCGGCUAACUCCGUGCCAGCAGCCGCGGUAAUACGGAGGAUCCGAGCGUUAUCCGGAUUUAUUGGGUGUAAAGGGAGCGUAGGUGGAUUGUUAAGUCAGUUGUGAAAGUUUGCGGCUCAACCGUAAAAUUGCAGUUGAAACUGGCAGUCUUGAGUACAGUAGAGGUGGGCGGAAUUCGUGGUGUAGCGGUGAAAUGCUUAGAUAUCACGAAGAACUCCGAUUGCGAAGGCAGUUCACUGGACUGCAACGGACACUGAGGCUCGAAAGUGUGGGUAUCAAACAGGAUUAGAUACCCUUGUAGUC